Non-coding RNA from Coturnix japonica (Japanese quail), 462 nucleotides. The record is from RefSeq and is a predicted model, not a curated record. NCBI's taxonomy places the organism in Eukaryota, Metazoa, Chordata, Aves, Galliformes, Phasianidae.
UGUAUAGGAGGUGAACUUGCUUGCAUACCCAGGAAAGAUCACAAGUAUCCAGCCCCACAGAAAUACUGUAUUAUUGUUGUCACUCCGAGACCAGAAGAGCUUUUUGAAGAAGUUAUCUACCGUAGAGAGGAGCUGCAAUACUUAGUAAUUUCUGCAGAAUGGCCUCAUAGAAAUAUGGUUCCCGAAUUAAUAAAGACUUACAAAGUCAGCUGUGAUAAUGGAACUGGAUAAACUUUAUUCAUAUGAGAGUGAGAAAAAAAAGGAUCCGAAAUCAGAUGUUCAUGAAGGCAAACUGAGCGAGUUCUGUGCUGAUUAUUGUGGGUUUCGGCCUCACUGCUCCCAUUCUGCAUCUGCAAGAUGCAGUCUGUCAGCUAUGCUUUAUCAACCUCGCUGUGCUGUUGUGUCAUCGGAGAGCUAUGGGGCCAAGGUCCAUUUGAGAAAGUUGCAGCAGCAUGGAGGACU